AAUUGCGAUUAACAAGGCAUGUCUCCAUAGAUAUAAGGAUAGAUCAGUGAAGCUCAUCAUGGACCUGACUAUAUCCAAUAGGGUCUUGUUUCUCCUUUCAGAUACCCCGUUGAGCUGAGGUAUUCCAGGAGGCAUCCAUUGAGAGACUAUCCAUUAUUCUUAAGAUAUCCAAAAAAUUUUUGACUAAGGUAUUCACCUCUAUGA
This 204-nucleotide long non-coding RNA is filed under the name Elaeis guineensis (African oil palm). RNAcentral's name for it is "long non-coding RNA (EGUI_LNC071713)". Lineage: Eukaryota; Viridiplantae; Streptophyta; Magnoliopsida; Arecales; Arecaceae. The record is from RNAcentral.